Molecule: long non-coding RNA, 504 nt
Organism: Lacerta agilis (Sand lizard)
Lineage: Eukaryota; Metazoa; Chordata; Lepidosauria; Squamata; Lacertidae
Exons: 3
Source: RefSeq, a predicted model, not a curated record
GAUUUAAGCCAGCCUUUCCCCAGGUUUGGCUGAGCGGUUGACCUGGAUGCGACACGCAGGCGUCCCAGCCCGUGACUCUGCUUUUGGUCUUGUGGUUUGGUGAGAGGGCCGCGUCCGAGCCUGGCUGCCGGAUGCUGGGUUUGGUGACUCACAUAGGGGAACAGGAAGCAAGAGGUCUGCUCACCGUCUCUGUGAGCGAGUGACCACAUUGAGGUCGGCUCUUUCUGCAGAGACGAGUGAGCGAGGGGAGAUGGCCGGAGGGGAAAGGAUCAGCUGCAGCUCUUGAGAACAGCUUAGAGCCAGAAGGUUGUAGUUGUGGCAAGAUCGAGCUAUGAGCCAAGUGGAGCUGAUCUGGGGCGCCUUCUCCCUGAUGUUCUUAGGAGCCUUGGUCAGCAUGUGCAUGAAAUGCCAACGGACAGGAGGGAGACAGGUGCAGACAGGCCUGGACAGUCAGAGGAAUAAGUAAGUAGCUGAUCACCGUUGCAUGUCUGAUUCUCUUAUUUC